Sphaeramia orbicularis (orbiculate cardinalfish) is the source of this 1636-nucleotide long non-coding RNA. RefSeq lists it as uncharacterized. The transcript has 2 exons. NCBI's taxonomy places the organism in Eukaryota, Metazoa, Chordata, Actinopteri, Kurtiformes, Apogonidae. The record is from RefSeq and is a predicted model, not a curated record.
CUUUCUGUUAGCUGAUAUUUAUAUACUAAUGACUCAAUACAUUGACUGCUGCCCUUUUUUCUUUAUUUUUCUCGAUUUCACUGAGUCUGAGUAUGUGUCAUAUAUUAUGUACAUUAAUUAUAAUUAAUUUUCUGAUCAGCCCUUCGUGUAACCUUUUGAUAAAUCUGUUUUUGCUUGCAUUCUGUGUUUUUUGCCUCACCUCUAGACUUUAGAUACCGCCAGUGGCUUUACAUGUCACUUGUUUUCACUACUUUAUCACAGGUGUGUGAUAGUUAUUUCCAAAGCAGUAGGUUUCCCAUGAGGCACUGCAACAAAACAAAGCGAGAGUUAGAUGUUUGGUUUGCACUUUGACUACAACACUGCUACAAAAGCUGACUUUGGAACACGGCCGUAAACAUGCAACUAGUUGUUUUUUCUAAAUCCUGAAAGAUUUUAUUCACAAGUGUCAAAUACAAAACUUCCUGAAAUACACCGGAAGCGACAUAAACAUUAAAGUAACAAGUAACUUUUAUCUGGCUAAACUUUCCCUUUAACAUAUCAGAAAAAGACAUAUCAGGAUACCGAAGACCACUCCAGACCAUUUUUAUAUUUCAUACUGAUUUCUAUCUUAAUCUAUUUUAAAUGUAUGUUUUAGAGUUUCUAGCAGACCUGAGUCAUAUCUGCAUGGAUUGGAAGUUGUGGCGUCAUUCGAGCUGUAUACUGCUUUUUGAUUCUUUCGAGCCACGUCUAACAGAUAGAGACAAUCCGAUCAUGUUAAAUAGCCAUUUUCCACCCCAUUAUAAACACAUCUACCAAUGUGGGGAAAUGCAUACAAACUAUCUGCUGCUGUUUUUUGGAGUCUAUCUGUCUAUUUUGGAAUUGCUGGGAUUCAAAUACUGUAAGUGGAUCAUUUAUAUUUGUACUGUUUACAACUUUCAAGUGCAUGAGAUGGACUAUCAAAUAUAUUCUCUGUCUAUAUAUAUAUAUAUAUAUAUAUAUAUAUAUAUAUAAACACAUCUAUAUAUAUAGAUGAACUAUGUGAGCAUUUUCUGAUGAACUGUUGUCCAUUGAGCAGUUUGAUCUCAAUACCCAAUUAAGCUCUACUUCAGGCUUUGCAAACUUUUCAACGGCUUUGUUUGAGAGAAUGAUUGUUUCAGUAUAUUUAUAAAAAUUAUACUGUAUAAAUAAAUAGAUUAGCAUUUAAAUAAAAUAGAUAUCUGUGCACAUGCUAGAGUUGACAUUCUGACUGGACAACAAUCAAAGAUCUAACAUUAGUGCCAAGUGUAUAUAACAGAUUGUAGACUAUGUUUUAACGUCACUUGCCGUAAAAAAAAUAUAUAUAUAUCAAUAUUCCUUGUGAAUUUUUUGACUUCUUUCUUUUUGAAUGUACAAAUUGUGUUGUGUUUUUUUGUUGUUCUUUGGUUUCUGUUCAGUUCGGUUUCUUUUACUCCAUUUCUCCCUUUGAUUGCAUUGAUGCUGUGUUGUUUCUUUUUCCUGAUUCCGUCCUUGUAUUUUAGAUGAUAGCUCCGGAAAGCUUGUAUUUAAUGAUGCCUUAUGGUCCAUGGCUUAGUGAUGAGUAGAUUUUUGAUCACAAGCUCUUUAUUUGCACUCAUCCUUUACAAAGUGUAUGACAAUAAAAAGAUCUUUUCAUUUUGGA